AUCCUUUUGUAGUUCCUAAGUGAUGAUUGGGUUUUCACCCUCAUACAUGAGAUGUGCCUCCCUCAAACCUUGUUAUGAUGUAGGCACAUUAACCAUCUGACA
Molecule: small nucleolar RNA, 102 nt
Organism: Macaca fascicularis (crab-eating macaque)
Lineage: Eukaryota; Metazoa; Chordata; Mammalia; Primates; Cercopithecidae
Source: Ensembl